RNAcentral lists this non-coding RNA (25 nucleotides) under Mus musculus (house mouse). The record is from RNAcentral. Lineage: Eukaryota; Metazoa; Chordata; Mammalia; Rodentia; Muridae.
UAACGAGCAGUAGGACUUAGUAAGU